This is a non-coding RNA of Nicotiana tabacum (common tobacco), 1064 nucleotides long. NCBI's taxonomy places the organism in Eukaryota, Viridiplantae, Streptophyta, Magnoliopsida, Solanales, Solanaceae. The record is from RefSeq and is a predicted model, not a curated record.
ACAUAUAUGCAUCCCUUUUUCUUCUCUUCUAAUAUAUCGUAUACAAUAGAGUUACAGAGCUUACUCACAGCUUACUCAAAUUUUUUACUGGCUUCUCAAAUCUCUCCAACUUGCAGUGAUAGCAGGUUUUGAGUCUAUGACCAAAGUAGGAACCGAAGGAAUCAAGAAUCAAAUGGAGGACAUUCAGGAGAUAAGGGAUGGGAGAGGAAGAUGACAAAUGAAGAGAGAAUGUUGUGUAUGUGGGUCCUGAAUUCAGAUCCCUUCUUCGGUUGGACAUAUAAAGAGCAACGAAUCUCCACAUUGAUGUGCCAUCAUCUGUUUAUCUAAAAGCACUACGUUGUACUUCUUCUCUUUUUUUUUUUGAAGCACCUAAUUGAGAAUACUAAAACUGACAUCUCAGAAGAUAGGUACAUUCCAAGGAAUGUAAGUGAGAAGGUUAUCAAAAAGGAAUGCGAGUGAGAAAACAUCAUUUAAUUUCUCUGAAGAUGAUGUUCAACUGAGAAGGUUAUCAAAAAGGAAUGCGAGUGAGAAAACAUCAUUUAAUUUCUCUGAAGAUGAUGUUCAACUGAGAAGGUUAUCAAAAAGGAAUGCGAGUGAGAAAACAUCAUUUAAUUUCUCUGAAGAUGAUGUUCAACUGAGAAGGUUAUCAAAAAGGAAUGCGAGAAUUGCUGCCUAGGAAGAUUACUUUGUGGAAGUUAAAGGAUAUAAAUUGCUUAAUAUAGGUGAAAAGUAUAGCUUGAGUCAAAGUCGGGGAUGCGGAUUAUUUGUAUUCUCUCUAAAGAAAUACUUCAAGCUAGAGGUGUAUUCACUUAGAGCUAAUUCGAUACUUGUAUCUUUCAGUGUUUAUUGAUUGGUUUGAAGAUGUAGUUCCUCCUGAAAUAUUGUGCCUGAGCAAAUGUGUGGCAAAUGUCAUUUUGCAUGGCUAUCCUCGGGGUGCAAUUUGAAGAAGGAAGCAACUAUCAUUGUGCUUGUGAAAUACCGAUAAACUUAUUUCACUUAUGUAUUUGUGAAAUCAUAGCUAUUGUAUUAGGUAUUUAUUGUUAUAUAUGUUGUCUAUCGCCAUU